Molecule: transfer RNA, 65 nt
Filed under: Singhiella simplex
Lineage: Eukaryota; Metazoa; Arthropoda; Insecta; Hemiptera; Aleyrodidae
Description: tRNA-Glu
Source: RNAcentral
GUUUUCAUAGUUUAAACAGAACACUAUACUUUCACUAUAGAGGCAAACCACCGGUUCUGAAAAUA